This 1482-nucleotide ribosomal RNA is filed under the name Triticum aestivum (bread wheat). RNAcentral describes it as "partial small subunit ribosomal RNA". Lineage: Eukaryota; Viridiplantae; Streptophyta; Magnoliopsida; Poales; Poaceae. The record is from RNAcentral.
AUGAUGACACUGUUGCAGCAACUAGCCAUUCAUUCUCCUGAUGACAAGGGCUAUGCACUAGAACACGGGUUAAUCAAGUACAAGGGCAGGUUGGUUAUUGGUAAAAAUUUGGCACUACAAACUAAAUUGGUAGCUUCUCUGCAUGACAGUGCUGUGGGCGGACAUUCCGGUAUUCAAGCAACGUAUCAGCGUGCUAAGAAACUCUAUUACUGGCCAGGCAUGAAAUUGGCUGUGGAGCUAUUUGUUAAGCAAUGCCCAAUCUGUCAACACGCUAAGCAUCCACACACUAGACCUGCUGGGCUUCUGCAGCCUUUGCCACCUCCCCAAGCUCCAUGGCAGGAAAUCACAAUGGAUUUUGUGGAAGGUUUGCCAAUGUCUGAUGGUGCCAAUGUGAUUUUGGUCGUCGUUGACCGUCUGACCAAGUAUGCACAUUUUCUGCCCUUACAUCAUCCUUACACAGCGACUACUAUUUCCAAGAUGUUUGUGGAUCAGAUUGUUCGUUUACAUGGAGUACCAUUGUCAAUCAUUUCGGACCGUGACAAGAUCUUCACCAGUCACAUAUGGAAGGACAUGUUCAAGGCAGUGGGCACCAAACUACAUUACAGCACGGCGCAUCAUCCACAAACUGACGGGCAGAGCGAGCGGGUUAAUCAGUGUGUUGAGCAAUAUCUGCGUUGUGCUGUUCAGGAUCGUCCCAAGACUUGGCGGCGAUGGUUGGCAAUGGCAGAAUUCUGGUACAAUACCAGCCACCAUUCCUCUCUUGGGUGCUCUCCCUUCCAUGCACUGUACAAAAGAGAACCCAACUUUGGUGGCAUGCCAAACAUCACUGUUGAUUCGGCCUCUCCAGUUGUGGACACCGCAGCGGAUUAUCAAGAGCACACGGAGUUGCUAAGGGUGCAUCUUCUGCGAGCCCAGCAACGCAUGAAGUCACAGGCAGAUCGUCGCCGCACCGAGCGUCAAUUUGUCGUCGGUGAGCAGGUCCUCUUGAAGCUGCAGCCGUAUGCACAACACUCAGUGGUCAAUCGUCCCUGUCACAAGCUUUCAUACAAAUACUUUGGACCAUACACCAUUCUGGAACGAAUUGGAGAGGUCGCGUACCGCCUGAAAUUGCCGGUUGCUGCCCAAGUACAUCCAGUCUUCCACAUUUCACAGCUAAAGCCUUUCUCGGCCGAUUACUCGCCGGUUUUCAGCGAGCUUCCGCCGCCGGACCUGGUGCUCUGUGAUAAGCUUCCGUCAGCAAUCCUGCAACGCCGCAUGGUCCGUGAUGGCAACAGGGCCACAACUCAAGUGCUUAUCAAAUGGGGUGAUCUGCCAGAUGAUUCCGCCACAUGGGAGAACUAUGAGGUGGUCAAGCAUCGUUUCCCGUCUUCUUCAUUGUGGGAUGAAGCUCAAUCUCAAGCGGCGGCAAGUGUCACGCCUACGCCUGCGUUGGCGGACAACGAGUCGCCUGGCUCAGAAGAUCCAGGCGAGAGAGCUCUGUGA